CCCUUAGAUGUUCUGGGCCGCACGCGUGCUACACUGAACGGUUCAAUGGGUAAGGUAGUGCGAAAGCAUGACCUAAUCUCGAAAUCCGUUCGUGCUGGGGAUAGAAGCUUGCAAUUAUCCUUCUUGAACGAGGAAUACCUUGUAAGCGUGAGUCAUCAUCUCACGCUGAAUACGUCCCUGCCCUUUGUACACACCGCCCGUCGCUCCUACCGAUUGAGUGUUCCGGUGAGGCUUUGGGAGAAUGGCCUCAACAUGAGUUUAUCGUGUUUUGCCGUUUGAACUUAGUCAAACCUUAUCACUUAGAGGAAGGAGAAGGCGUAACA
Molecule: ribosomal RNA, 323 nt
Filed under: uncultured eukaryote
Lineage: Eukaryota
Description: partial 18S ribosomal RNA
Rfam family: Eukaryotic small subunit ribosomal RNA
Source: RNAcentral